GUGACUGCGUACCUUUUGUAUAAUGGGUCAGCGACUUAUAUUCUGUAGCAAGGUUAACCGAAUAGGGGAGCCGGAGGGAAACCGAGUCUUAACCGGGCGUUAAGUUGCAGGGUAUAGACCCGAAACCCGGUGAUCUAGCCAUGGGCAGGUUGAAGGUUGGGUAACACUAACUGGAGGACCGAACCGACUAAUGUUGAAAAAUUAGCGGAUGACCUGUGGCUGGGGGUGAAAGGCCAAUCAAACCGGGAGAUAGCUGGUUCUCCCCGAAAGCUAUUUAGGUAGCGCCUCGUGAAUUCAUCUCCGGGGGUAGAGCACUGUUUCGGCUAGGGGGCCAUCCCGGCUUACCAACCCGAUGCAAACUGCGAAUACCGGAGAAUGUUAUCACGGGAGACACACGGCGGGUGCUAACGUCCGUCGUGAAGAGGGAAACAACCCAGACCGCCAGCUAAGGUCCCAAAGUCAUGGUUAAGUGGGAAACGAUGUGGGAAGGCCCAGACAGCCAGGAUGUUGGCUUAGAAGCAGCCAUCAUUUAAAGAAAGCGUAAUAGCUCACUGGUCGAGUCGGCCUGCGCGGAAGAUGUAACGGGGCUAAACCAUGCACCGAAGCUGCGGCAGCGACACUGUGUGUUGUUGGGUAGGGGAGCGUUCUGUAAGCCUGUGAAGGUGUGUCGUGAGGCAUGCUGGAGGUAUCAGAAGUGCGAAUGCUGACAUAAGUAACGAUAAAGCGGGUGAAAAGCCCGCUCGCCGGAAGACCAAGGGUUCCUGUCCAACGUUAAUCGGGGCAGGGUGAGUCGACCCCUAAGGCGAGGCCGAAAGGCGUAGUCGAUGGGAAACGGGUUAAUAUUCCCGUACUUGGUGUUACUGCGAAGGGGGGACGGAGAAGGCUAUGUUGGCCGGGCGACGGUUGUCCCGGUUUAAGCGUGUAGGUGUGUGUUCCAGGUAAAUCCGGUUCACUUUAACACUGAGGCGUGACGACGAGGCACUACGGUGCUGAAGCAACAAAUGCCCUGCUUCCAGGAAAAGCCUCUAAGCAUCAGGUAACAUCAAAUCGUACCCCAAACCGACACAGGUGGUCAGGUAGAGAAUACCAAGGCGCUUGAGAGAACUCGGGUGAAGGAACUAGGCAAAAUGGUGCCGUAACUUCGGGAGAAGGCACGCUGACACGUAGGUGAAGUGAUUUACUCAUGGAGCUGAAGUCAGUCGAAGAUACCAGCUGGCUGCAACUGUUUAUUAAAAACACAGCACUGUGCAAACACGAAAGUGGACGUAUACGGUGUGACGCCUGCCCGGUGCCGGAAGGUUAAUUGAUGGGGUCAGCGCAAGCGAAGCUCCUGAUCGAAGCCCCGGUAAACGGCGGCCGUAACUAUAACGGUCCUAAGGUAGCGAAAUUCCUUGUCGGGUAAGUUCCGACCUGCACGAAUGGCGUAAUGAUGGCCAGGCUGUCUCCACCCGAGACUCAGUGAAAUUGAACUCGCUGUGAAGAUGCAGUGUACCCGCGGCAAGACGGAAAGACCCCGUGAACCUUUACUAUAGCUUGACACUGAACAUUGAGCCUUGAUGUGUAGGAUAGGUGGGAGGCUUUGAAGUGUGGACGCCAGUCUGCAUGGAGCCGACCUUGAAAUACCACCCUUUAAUGUUUGAUGUUCUAACGUGGACCCGUUACCCGGGUUGCGGACAGUGUCUGGUGGGUAGUUUGACUGGGGCGGUCUCCUCCUAAAGAGUAACGGAGGAGCACGAAGGUUGGCUAAUCCUGGUCGGACAUCAGGAGGUUAGUGCAAUGGCAUAAGCCAGCUUGACUGCGAGCGUGACGGCGCGAGCAGGUGCGAAAGCAGGUCAUAGUGAUCCGGUGGUUCUGAAUGGAAGGGCCAUCGCUCAACGGAUAAAAGGUACUCCGGGGAUAACAGGCUGAUACCGCCCAAGAGUUCAUAUCGACGGCGGUGUUUGGCACCUCGAUGUCGGCUCAUCACAUCCUGGGGCUGAAGUAGGUCCCAAGGGUAUGGCUGUUCGCCAUUUAAAGUGGUACGCGAGCUGGGUUUAGAACGUCGUGAGACAGUUCGGUCCCUAUCUGCCGUGGGCGCUGGAGAACUGAGGGGGGCUGCUCCUAGUACGAGAGGACCGGAGUGGACGCAUCACUGGUGUUCGGGUUGUCAUGCCAAUGGCACUGCCCGGUAGCUAAAUGCGGAAGAGAUAAGUGCUGAAAGCAUCUAAGCACGAAACUUGCCCCGAGAUGAGUUCUCCCUGAGACUUAAGUCUCCUGAAGGAACGUUGAAGACGACGACGUUGAUAGGCCGGGUGUGUAAGCGCAGCGAUGCGUUGAGCUAACCGGUACUAAUGAACCGUGAGGCUUAACCUU
RNAcentral lists this ribosomal RNA (2352 nucleotides) under Salmonella enterica subsp. enterica serovar Enteritidis str. CDC_2010K_0899. RNAcentral describes it as "bacterial LSU rRNA". It matches the Rfam family "Bacterial large subunit ribosomal RNA", at positions 593 to 2925 of the family's 2925-position model. Lineage: Bacteria; Pseudomonadati; Pseudomonadota; Gammaproteobacteria; Enterobacterales; Enterobacteriaceae. The record is from RNAcentral.